Molecule: ribosomal RNA, 268 nt
Filed under: uncultured prokaryote
Description: partial 16S ribosomal RNA
Rfam family: Bacterial small subunit ribosomal RNA
Source: RNAcentral
UGGGGAAUCAUGGUCAAUGGGCGAAAGCCUGAACCUGCGACGCCGCGUGAGUGAUGAAGGUCGUAAGAUCGUAAAACUCUUUUCAGGGAUCUUAAAGCCUGUCUGUCAACAACAGGCAGGUCUGACUCUCCCUGGAAGAAGCCCCAGCCAACUCCGUGCCAGCAGCUGCGGUAAUACGGAGGGGGCGAGCGUUAUUCGGAAGUACUGGGUGUAAAGGGUAUGUAGGCGGCCCUUCAAGUCGCGUGUCAAAGUGCAGGGCUCAACGGUG